CUGGCCGGGUACAGGACCCAUUCUCCUGUGACCUCGGGCCCAGCUCUCAUGCCUGGCACAGCUUUUGACAUGGCUUUCUCACUAAGCUCAAUGUCUUCAGCUUGUGAUUCCAAGAGGAUGCCGGAGAAGGCCACUGCUGGGUUGUUAACUGGGCUUCUUCAAAGACCAUCGCAUCCCAGAGAGUAGGGAGACCAGUGAGAAAGAGCACAGGGCACCCGGGAGGUGACCUUUUGUCUGUCAAGGUUGCAAUCCCCUAUCCACAUGAUUUAUAGCACCAUGAGAUAAUUACAAUAGUGAUAUCAAAGAUCGCUGAAACAGACUGACAUCCUGAGCAACUACUCCAACGAGCCACAGUCCGGGAGCAUGCAUUCUGGAAUAUGCCCUGUGCUGGGUUGCCCAAGCCUUCAGCAUGGAUGAUGAAAAUACCAUCACCAGUGCACAAUGAAGCAAAGCGCUGUAAAACUGAGCAUGCCUGUCUGUGUCCGUCAGUCAAGGAAUGCAAAACGACAAAUCAGGUAACGAUGGACAGCAUGCCCGAAGAUGGGCCUGGAGGUUUCAACAGAACUGAGCAUUUUCUUUUGUCUGGAGUCGUGGGCAUAAAGGAACAAAGCUCCAUGGGGGUCACAUUUCGUGACACAGCAUCGCUUACUCAAUGCUGAGACAGAAUGCCGUGAUGUAAUGCUAUGUAUGACAGAAUACCAUGAUGCAAUUCCCUCACGUAAUACCCUCACCACAGGAAGGGUAGUGACGCUGUGAAAUAAUGGGAUAUGAUACUGCA
Peromyscus maniculatus bairdii (prairie deer mouse) is the source of this 778-nucleotide non-coding RNA. The record is from RefSeq and is a predicted model, not a curated record. NCBI's taxonomy places the organism in Eukaryota, Metazoa, Chordata, Mammalia, Rodentia, Cricetidae.